RNAcentral lists this ribosomal RNA (492 nucleotides) under uncultured bacterium. RNAcentral's name for it is "partial 16S ribosomal RNA". It matches the Rfam family "Bacterial small subunit ribosomal RNA", at positions 29 to 507 of the family's 1533-position model. The record is from RNAcentral.
AGUGAACGCUGGCGGUAGGCCUAACACAUGCAAGUCGAACGGCAGCACAGUAAGAGCUUGCUCUUACGGGUGGCGAGUGGCGGACGGGUGAGGAAUACAUCUGAAUCUACUUUUUCGUGGGGGAUAACGUAGGGAAACUUACGCUAAUACCGCAUACGACCUACGGGUGAAAGCAGGGGAUCUUCGGACCUUGCGCGAUUGAAUGAGCCGAUGUCGGAUUAGCUAGUUGGCGGGGUAAAGGCCCACCAAGGCGACGAUCCGUAGCUGGUCUGAGAGGAUGAUCAGCCACACUGGAACUGAGACACGGUCCAGACUCCUACGGGAGGCAGCAGUGGGGAAUAUUGGACAAUGGGCGCAGGCCUGAUCCAGCCAUACCGCGUGGGUGAAGAAGGCCUUCGGGUUGUAAAGCCCUUUUGUUGGGAAAGAAAAGCAGCAGGUUAAUACCCCGCUGUUCUGACGGUACCCAAAGAAUAAGCACCGGCUAACUUCGUG